CCUUCUUUUUCUCUCUUUUUCCUUCCUCCUUGGGCGUAAAGGGCGCGUAGGUGGCCCAGUCAGCGUGCGGUGAAAGCUCGGGGCUCAACCCCGAGUCGGCCGUGCGAACUGCUGGGCUCGAGCACUGUAGAGGCAGGCGGAAUUCCGGGUGUAGCGGUGGAAUGCGUAGAGAUCCGGAAGAACACCGGUGGCGAAGGCGGCCUGCUGGGCAGUAGCUGACACUGAGGCGCGACAGCGUGGGGAGCAAACAGGA
RNAcentral lists this ribosomal RNA (253 nucleotides) under uncultured prokaryote. Its description in RNAcentral is "partial 16S ribosomal RNA". The stretch from base 27 to 253 matches the Rfam family "Bacterial small subunit ribosomal RNA", at positions 551 to 777 of the family's 1533-position model. The record is from RNAcentral.